UGGGGAAUAUUGGACAAUGGGCGCAAGCCUGAUCCAGCCAUGCCGCGUGGAUGAUGAAGGCCUUAGGGUUGUAAAGUCCUUUCGGCGGGGAAGAUAAUGACGGUACCCGCAGAAGAAGCCCCGGCUAACUUCGUGCCAGCAGCCGCGGUAAUACGAAGGGGGCUAGCGUUGCUCGGAAUCACUGGGCGUAAAGCGCACGUAGGCGGCUUUUAAGUCAGGGGUGAAAUCCUGGAGCUCAACUCCAGAACUGCCUUUGAUACUGAGAAGCUUGAGUCCGGGAGAGGUGAGUGGAACUGCGAGUGUAGAGGUGAAAUUCGUAGAUAUUCGCAAGAACACCAGUGGCGAAGGCGGCUCACUGGCCCCGGUACUGACGCUGAGGUGCGAAAGCGUGGGGAGCAAACAGGAUUAGAUACCCGCGUAGUCCCUGAGCGGGCUGGCAAGGCGCAU
Molecule: ribosomal RNA, 447 nt
Filed under: uncultured bacterium
Lineage: Bacteria
Description: bacterial SSU rRNA
Rfam family: Bacterial small subunit ribosomal RNA
Source: RNAcentral